RNAcentral lists this ribosomal RNA (492 nucleotides) under uncultured bacterium. RNAcentral describes it as "partial 16S ribosomal RNA". It matches the Rfam family "Bacterial small subunit ribosomal RNA", at positions 29 to 507 of the family's 1533-position model. The record is from RNAcentral.
AGUGAACGCUGGCGGUAGGCCUAACACAUGCAAGUCGAACGGCAGCACAGUAAGAGCUUGCUCUUACGGGUGGCGAGUGGCGGACGGGUGAGGAAUACAUCGGAAUCUACUUUUUCGGGGGGGAUAACGUAGGGACACUGACGCUAAUACCGCAUACGACCUACGGGUGAAAGCAGGGGAUCUUCGGACCUUGCGCGAUUGAAUUAGCCGAUGUCGGAUUAGCUAGUUGGCGGGGUAAAGGCCCACCAAGGCGACGAUCCGUAGCUGGUCUGAGAGGAUGAUCAGCCACACUGGAACUGAGACACGGUCCAGACUCCUACGGGAGGCAGCAGUGGGGAAUAUUGGACAAUGGGCGCAAGCCUGAUCCAGCCAUACCGCGUGGGUGAAGAAGGCCUUCGGGUUGUAAAGCCCUUUUGUUGGGAAAGAAAAGCAGCAGGUUAAUACCCCGCUGUUCUGACGGUACCCAAAGAAUAAGCACCGGCUAACUUCGUG